Telopea speciosissima is the source of this 437-nucleotide long non-coding RNA. RefSeq lists it as uncharacterized. NCBI's taxonomy places the organism in Eukaryota, Viridiplantae, Streptophyta, Magnoliopsida, Proteales, Proteaceae. The transcript is spliced from 4 exons. The record is from RefSeq and is a predicted model, not a curated record.
AAAAGAAAAAAAAAAUGUAACUUCCUCUUUUCCCCAAUUUUCUGUGAUAUGCUGUUUCUUAUUCAGCUUCUACUGGAUUUUUCUGUAGGAUAUACCUGAUAUUGAUGGGGACAAGAUUUUUGGCAUCCAAUCUUUUAGUGUUCGUCUGGGUCAAAAGCGGGUAUUUUGGAUUUGUAUAUACCUCCUCGAGAUGGCUUAUGUGGUGGCUGUGUUUGUUGGAGCUGCAUCAUCCUUCCUUUGGAGCAAACUCUUAACAGUUCUGGGUCAUGUCAUUUUGGCUUCCAUUCUCUGGGACCGUGCCAAAUCUCUUGAUCUGAAUAGCAAAGCUGCUAUAACAUCCUUUUAUAUGUUUAUUUGGAAGCUCUUUUAUGUGGAGUACUUGCUCAUUCCAUUGGUGAGGUGAAGAUAACAUAUGGAGAUGACGACCAGAAAUGGAU